This is a long non-coding RNA of Leopardus geoffroyi (Geoffroy's cat), 1814 nucleotides long. RefSeq lists it as uncharacterized. The transcript is spliced from 2 exons. NCBI's taxonomy places the organism in Eukaryota, Metazoa, Chordata, Mammalia, Carnivora, Felidae. The record is from RefSeq and is a predicted model, not a curated record.
CCAUCAGCUUAAAAUGCUGCCCCUCAGGGCAUUGAAGAGGAAAUGAAGAAGAUUUUCAGGAAGAAAAAAACCACAAUGGGUCAGAUGUGUACGACUCUUGAGACCAGGAAUUGAAACUAGAAGAAGCCCUAAAAUGCAAGUAGGAAAUCCAAAGGAGGGAAGCAAGUCUGAUAGCAGUUAAUCGACAAUGAGAGGCAGUAAAUGGCAACCAACAUUCAAUGUCAAGGACAGCUUUAAAAAGUGGUGGGAAUGAUGGCUCAAUAGAUAGAGAAAGGUCACCUGAUGACCUUGACCACUCCAUCCAGGGGGUCCGAUAUUACGAGGUCCUCUCUUUUCUCAGAGGAAGACAGAACUCUUUGUAUGGAAUCUCCUGAAUUUCAAUUGUUGCCAACUAAUUAUUUUUUAACUUUAACACUGAGGAGAAAAAACAAGUACAUCCGUAUGCUAAGUGCAGCUUGGGAGCUGUGAGUUUCGCUCUUGCGGUCAUAUUUAGGAUACUUGGCUUACUUACCUCUACAUGUGUGUACAAAACUAUUAGAGAACACAGCCCUGAAUUUGACAAUAAGAGGACACAGGUUUGUUUAAGCCUCAGCUUUGGAUGGUAUUGGUCACAUGCCCUUGGCCAACCCCAUUGUUCAUCUAAGCAUCUGCCUCCUCCUGUAUGUAAUAAGCAGUUACUUGUGUGUUACACUCAGGAAGACUUAAAAACCCCCUUUGCCCACACCCCCAACCUCGACAAUGCCAGGGAGCACCAAAUACACCUCUUCAGAAACAUGGAACCAUAGUAAGGAGGAGGUUGUAAUGACUUUUACUCACUCUUAGUCUCCAAACCUAUUUUACUUUUUUUUUUUUUUUUUUUUUUUUUUUUUUUAGGAAUGUCUACUUUUUUUGUAUGUGAGACAAAAAAAAAAAAAAGGCAUGCGUUAAAUAUUUUGGUUGUGUUCUUUCCAAGUAUCUGGAAUCAACAUCAGUGUAAACUUUGUAAGUUCAAAAUUUUCUCAUCAGUCGUGUCUUUAUGCUUGAGUCCUAGCAAGAAAUGCCUUUAUUUUUGUUUUUUAAUCCUAUUUUACCAAGACUACACUUACUGGAUUAAAGAUAUUAAUAAUAUUUCUAAAAAUAAUAAUUCAUGCCAAAGCCUUGAGCUGGGACUCCGAACACAUUGCCCUUACAAGGCUUCCCACGAAUUAUGGCAGGAUUUAUGAAUUUAGACUUAAUAUAAAUUUGAAUUGCUUCUUCAAAGAAAGCGCAUCGCUAUUAUUUUUCACUGUUGGUUUUUACACAAAGCAAGUUCCUGGUCACAAGACGGUACGAUAAAUAUUUAAAAAUUUGAAUAUCUGACUUUGAGGCUAAUACGGACUUCAGGUCUCAUUUUGAAUAUUAUCACCAAUGAACAUUCUAAUGUGCUAGCAUUGUUGAUCAUCAUGGUCAUAAUUUUGUUGAGGAUUCCUAAAACUGUGGUUAUUGACAUCUGAGUCUUAAUUUUCCCCUUUAAUUUAACUGUUUUUUCAAGUAGGAAAUCCCAAGUAAAACAAUUUUUAGAAAUAUGGUCAGAAUUUUUUCUGCCUCCCGUCUUACAGCUUUUCCUAAACAGUCUUCUGCUGUAGUGCCUCAAUUGUUUUUACUGUAAUUGUUUCAUUUGAUUUGAUGGGUAUGCACAUAAUUACAUUAUUCAUUCAUCCACAAGUACCUGGCAUUUGUUCACACUUCUACUUUUCCCCUGUUUGUUUGGCACAUGUGAGGCUUUCCGUGUUUGAAAAUACAUUGCGUGAGAGAUGUGUGUGAAAGGUAUUUCAUUAAAGUAACUUGUUUAGUUU